This 301-nucleotide ribosomal RNA is filed under the name uncultured bacterium. Its description in RNAcentral is "partial 16S ribosomal RNA". It matches the Rfam family "Bacterial small subunit ribosomal RNA", at positions 509 to 807 of the family's 1533-position model. The record is from RNAcentral.
CAGUCGCCGCGGGAAUACGUAGGUGGCAAGCGUUGUCCGGAAUUAUUGGGCGUAAAGCGUGCGUAGGUGGUGGUUUAAGUCCGUUGUGAAAGCCCUGGGCUCAACCUGGGAAUUGCAGUGGAUACUGGAUCACUAGAGUGUGGUAGAGGAUAGUGGAAUUUCCGGUGUAGCAGUGAAAUGCGUAGAGAUCGGAAGGAACAUCUGUGGCGAAGGCGACUAUCUGGGCCAACACUGACACUGAGGCACGAAAGCGUGGGGAGCAAACAGGAUUAGAUACCCGCGUAGUCCCUGUCUCUUAUAC